RNAcentral lists this non-coding RNA (174 nucleotides) under uncultured Alistipes sp. The record is from RNAcentral. Lineage: Bacteria; Pseudomonadati; Bacteroidota; Bacteroidia; Bacteroidales; Rikenellaceae.
GGUGCCGGCCGAGGGGAUCAAAUGGGAAUCAGGUGCGAAUCCUGAACAGUUCCCGCUGCUGUAAGUUCCUGCUCCGCCGAGGCGGAGCGAACGUAUGCGACACUCUUUUGCCACUGACUUUUGGGUCGGGAAGGCGUCGCAGACGGAACGAGUCAGAAGACCUGCCGUUGCGGU